This 281-nucleotide ribosomal RNA is filed under the name Anaerotignum lactatifermentans. Its description in RNAcentral is "partial 16S ribosomal RNA". It matches the Rfam family "Bacterial small subunit ribosomal RNA", at positions 524 to 805 of the family's 1533-position model. Lineage: Bacteria; Bacillati; Bacillota; Clostridia; Lachnospirales; Anaerotignaceae. The record is from RNAcentral.
UACGUAGGGGGCAAGCGUUAUCCGGAAUUACUGGGUGUAAAGGGUGAGUAGGCGGCAUGACAAGUAAGAUGUGAAAGCCCGUGGCUUAACCACGGGAUUGCAUUUUAAACUGUUGAGCUAGAGUACAGGAGAGGAAAGCGGAAUUCCCAGUGUAGCGGUGAAAUGCGUAGAUAUUGGGAAGAACACCAGUGGCGAAGGCGGCUUUCUGGACUGAAACUGACGCUGAGGCACGAAAGCGUGGGGAGCAAACAGGAUUAGAAACCCCGGCCGGCUGACUGACU